Molecule: non-coding RNA, 228 nt
Filed under: Gracilibacillus kekensis
Lineage: Bacteria; Bacillati; Bacillota; Bacilli; Caryophanales; Bacillaceae
Description: T-box sequence
Rfam family: T-box leader
About the family: Uncharged tRNA acts as the effector for transcription antitermination of genes in the T-box leader family. T-boxes are found upstream of many aminoacyl-tRNA synthetase genes and some amino acid biosynthetic genes usually in Gram-positive bacteria.
Source: RNAcentral
CUUAAAUCAAUGAGAAGGAUUAGUACAAUCUCCCACUGUAGCCAAGAGAGCCGGAAUUGCUGGAAACCGGUAUACACGGAAAUUGGAAUGGACCUUUGAGAGUGCUCUGGAAAAUACAGUACAGUGCAACGGCUUAUCCUCGUUAAUGGAUCAAUGAAGUGGAAGGAAAUUACAGAUAAUACUCCUUCAAAUAGUGGUGGCACCACGGUAGAAAUAACCGUCCCUAUU